CCUACGGGAGGCAGCAGUGGGGAAGUUUUAGGUACAAUGGGCGGCAAGCCUGAUCCAGCAAUGCCGCGUGCAGGAUGAAGGCCUUCGGGUUGUAAACUGCUUUUGUACGGAACGAAACGGCUCUUUCUAAUAAAGAGAGCUAAUGACGGUACCGUAAGAAUAAGCACCGGCUAACUACGUGCCAGCAGCCGCGGUAAUACGUAGGGUGCGAGCGUUAAUCGGAAUUACUGGGCGUAAAGCGUGCGCAGGCGGUUAUAUAAGACAGAUGUGAAAUCCCCGGGCUCAACCUGGGACCUGCAUUUGUGACUGUAUAGCUAGAGUACGGUAGAGGGGGAUGGAAUUCCGCGUGUAGCAGUGAAAUGCGUAGAUAUGCGGAGGAACACCGAUGGCGAAGGCAAUCCCCUGGACCUGUACUGACGCUCAUGCACGAAAGCGUGGGGAGCAAACAGGAUUAGAUACCCUGGUAGUCCACGCCCUAAACGAUGUCAACUGGUUNUUGGGUCCUUCACUNAUCANACGAAGACACGACGNGAGUAGACGCCGCGGNGGUACGGCCGCGAGUAGUAACGACGAAGAGAGUAGUAGNGNGAGAGCGACGACGACGACGACGGAGGGAGG
Molecule: ribosomal RNA, 618 nt
Filed under: uncultured bacterium
Lineage: Bacteria
Description: bacterial SSU rRNA
Rfam family: Bacterial small subunit ribosomal RNA (bases 1-542)
Source: RNAcentral